Molecule: non-coding RNA, 1361 nt
Organism: Microcebus murinus (gray mouse lemur)
Lineage: Eukaryota; Metazoa; Chordata; Mammalia; Primates; Cheirogaleidae
Source: RefSeq, a predicted model, not a curated record
AAUAAAGCCCCACCCUGGGCGGGCCCUGGACUGAGUCUGGGCAGUGUGAGGUUGCGCCACUUCUGCUCCUUGACACCCAGUCUGGGAUCCACUCCGAUGGACCCCUUCUCCCUGCUGGCAGAAUCGCCCUUUUGGUGGCCUUUCCCAGGUCACGUCCACAUCAACUCUGGUGCCCAGCUACAAAGCUAUCCUGUCUUCAGCUCAGUGCAUAUUUAUCCGCACUAUAUGCUGCAGAGCUUGGAGUGGAAGAGAUUGUAAAGAUGAUCAGGCAAGUUAAAAGCAUUUUGUGAUUACAGAGUCUGCCACAGAAGAUGCUUGUUUGAAUGCAUAGUGGGUGCAGUGCUGUCAGCAAAGAGGCAGAUACUCUCUGUGGAAAGAGAAAAAAAAAAUCAACUGAUACACUGCAUCCUUGUUGACUGGUGGCUCAUUAUAGAGGCUAAUAAGAGAAAAUACAUUCUCAUGUACUGAUCGUUGGAGCUCAGAGAAUUCUAGGAGAGCCACCUACUGAGAUGGAGACUCAUUUAAAUAGAAUUUUGGAGGAAAGGAUGAUGCCAGAAGGUACAAUUUGCAGCAUUUUUGCUGCCACCUACAGGCACCCCCCUGAGAACCACCUCUGAUGUCGGAAAACUUCCUGAUAAGACUACUCAGCUGUUUCUUAAAGAAAAAUUAAAAUCUCUAAGAGAACUGAGCCCAGAGCCCACAGGGAAGAAUCAAGAUCAUGGGCAAUUAGGAAAUGACUUCAAGGGAGCAGAUGCAAUCAAGAGCAUUCCUUGCCAAUUGUAGGCACUCUACUUGAAGAAAUAAAAUGUCACAUAUUGUGUGAAUCAUUUGCAUUAUGUCGGGCUAGAAUCAGGAACAAGAAGCAACAAGAAUUUCAUGAAGUUGGAGCGAUUGACAGUCACUCUGCAAAGUUAUCGGGCAUCAUCCAAGUUGCAUAAUUUCAAUUUAACUGUUUCAUCUAGAACAACAAUAAUAGCCAAUCUCCACUGUUAACUCAUUUCCAUUCAUUUAUUGAUCCAUCACAGCAUUCAGUCAAUUAUGCAGUAAAAAUAGGUAUUGAAUGUUUACUAUGGGCAUGACGGUGUAUAAGUCACAUGUUGCUUUUAUAGCCUUUAAUGUUAAGGACUUUGAGGUUCUGCACAUGUCAAGGACAUACAGACUAGUGAUUCAAUGUAGAGAAAGUAAUUGCUUUAAAAGUAACAUAUUUAAGGACAGAAAAAGCAUCAAGCUUAGAGGAACUUAGCAGAACUACUCCACUGUGUGUAUAUGCAAAAUAUACUGAGUAACCGUAUGUCUAUGCUGUCCCAUAGGUACCACUAGCCAUAGGUGGUUAUUGAGCCUGAAAUGUGGCUAAUUUUAAU